This 334-nucleotide long non-coding RNA is filed under the name Eucalyptus grandis. RNAcentral describes it as "long non-coding RNA (EGRA_LNC006303)". The record is from RNAcentral. Lineage: Eukaryota; Viridiplantae; Streptophyta; Magnoliopsida; Myrtales; Myrtaceae.
AGGAGAAAGGAGGAAAUGUGGGCGGAAGAUUGUGGCAGAAGAAGAGAGGGGGGAGAGGAGAGAGCGAGCUACUGGCCGAACCGGCCCAUUGGCGAGGCGCAAGGUAGCUCGCCGAACCGGCCCAUUGGCGAGGCGCAGGCGCUGUCAAUUUCUGGAUUGCGAUCCUCCACCGCAACAUUGCCAUUGCCAUGAUGAAUUAGCAAAAUGAGGACACUGACGAUGACUGGAGAAGCGGAUAACAACAUAUUCUUAUGGAGAGAGGAAGAAGAGAGGAGCUCUAGAUCCCACACAAACCCUACCGGCUUCAAUGUGAGAGGGAGAGAGGGCGGAAGAG